This 262-nucleotide long non-coding RNA is filed under the name Panax ginseng (ginseng). Its description in RNAcentral is "long non-coding RNA (PGIN_LNC016199)". Lineage: Eukaryota; Viridiplantae; Streptophyta; Magnoliopsida; Apiales; Araliaceae. The record is from RNAcentral.
GGUAAACUGCCGGAUCUGUGCCAGAGAACCCGUAGGCUUUCCUCUUCUUCGGUUACUCCCGAAAUGGGCAUGGAAUUUAUCACAAAGCUCGGUCCAAGAGGAUAUUGAAUCUGCCGGCAAAGUUCCCAACCACUGUCUCGCAUCUUUUCUCAGCGUCGUAACAAAAGUGUGGCACUUAGCAGCGUCAGUGAAGUCAUAAUAGUGCAUUAGCCAGUCGAACGCCUGGCUAUGGUCAUAAGGAUCCCCGGUCCCAUCGUAACUU